This 3188-nucleotide unclassified non-coding RNA is filed under the name Leishmania donovani. Its description in RNAcentral is "gene:LdHU3.26.1410(CDS-product:hypothetical_prote in_conserved)". The record is from RNAcentral. Lineage: Eukaryota; Euglenozoa; Kinetoplastea; Trypanosomatida; Trypanosomatidae.
ACGCUGAUCGACCGCUGUGGCUCUUGUCCGUGCUGCAGUCCUGUGGGAAGGGAUCAUCAGUGUCUGCCGUUCGUGCGCUCACUGCCGGUCGGCCCUCCGGUGAGUGGCUUCAAGGAACCGAAAGGGACGCACUCCCAGGGUGACUAACGCUCGUGCCCCAUGCUCAGUCGGCCGCUAUCCACGUCGUGGCUCGUGAUGCCACGUCGUCGCAGUGGUUGGUGCCCCUUCACGCUGUCCGCCUUUGCGUCCUGCUCGCAGCAUGGCCUUCGCUCUUCUCGUGCAGCUAUGCGCCAUGUGCAUGCUCGAACAUGCCACUGCAGCUCUUACAAUCUUGUAGGUCGCUGCAUCUCAUCUAUGAGCUCGGGAAUCGCUGACGUACCGACAAGCGCCGCGCCGUGGGAACGUCUCGUGCACCUCGUCACUGGCCUUCCUUCGGCCGAGCAGCGAAGCUUCCCGCUCACGGCAACGGGUGCCCCCACUUUGGCCAACGUAGCGGCUGUCCGUACUGCCCUUCCUGCAAUUCGUGAGCUAUGGUUGUCUGCCUACCACCCCGCCUUCGGCUGCGGUGUGGAACGCGAUCGUGACGGCGCCGUCGCCUCUGCCGUCGCCGCGUCUGACGUGGAUGCACAGCGGCAGCAGCACCGGCUUCUCCCAGAAGAAGCAGAGGAGCUGCCGCUGUUUGUGCAAGCGCUUGGCCACCUCGCCGCUGCCCUCCACGAGUCGAUCGGAGAGACGACUGAGGCAGCAGCAGCAGCAGCAGCGGUGGCGGCCGACGACGCCGACGCUGAUACCCGCCUUCUGAAGAUGCACGAGUGGCUCGUGGAGCUGCAGGCGCUCUUGCUCUUUAUCGGGCAGCACCACCUGCGCUUCCUGAUUCCAGCGACCUUUUCGCCCAAGCUGUCAUCCCUGGCUGUCUCACCCGUGCCGGAGACGCACACAGUCGAUGGAAACGGUAGUGCGAGCUACGGCAGCGAGCUAAGCAAGCCGGGGACAGCAAAACGGCGGGAGACGCAGGUCAGUGACGCCUCAUCACUGCGGCAGCUUGCGAAUGAGGUGAUUGCAAACCACACGAGUGCACCUCCGGCGGUUGUCAAAGGCAGCGUCCCCGGCGCUGCCUCCCUUCGCCGCCUGUUUCGUCACGAGUGCGAGCAUGUGCAAGACAUGGCGCCGCCGCUGCCGGUAGAGGAGCUUCUCCGCGUUGUGGUGCUGGUCGAGGCCGCGCGAACGAUCCUUGACGUGACGCAUCCUCCGCCGCUGGCGUCAGGAGUGCGCGCGGAGGUGUACGGCGUGCUCUUGUCCGUCGUCGGUUCGAGUGAGCAGCUGUCGUCUACGACGCUCGCGUCGCUCGCCACAUGUCUGGCGCGAUGUGUCGAUAGCUAUGCGAUGCGCAAGCAGCUUUCAGCCGUUGCAUGUGCGCCACAGAAAUCGGGCGCGGUGCCGGGGGACUACGACGACGGUGGUGGCGUGCAGGCGCGCGGAGAGCGUUUUGCUGGUGUCGGCAGCGCAGCACUUUCUGCAUUUUUGCGACGUGUCUCACGCAACAUCGCCGCGUGUUCUGCAGGCACCUCUCUCACUAUAUCGCCUUCACCGAUUGAGCAGCAUGAGGCUGCGCAGCUCAAUCGCCUCUGUGGCGGCCUCGACACUCGCCUGCGCCCUACCAGCGUCCUACACCACCUUCGCGUACUCGCGAACGUGAUGCAGCGCCGUCUCGCCAAAACGCUCUAUGACGCGGAGGCCGGGCAUGGCGCUCACCAGCUACAGCAGGAGGCAGGGAAGUGCGGCGACGACGGCGCGGACGUCCCUGCCAGCAGCACCGGCGCCGCUCGCGUGGCAAAGGAAGCGAGGAUAGAGGCCGGCAUGCUGGGCAUACUCACGCUGGAGGAACUCAAAGCACGCGCAGGGACGACGUUGAGUGACACUAGGUUGCCAACGGCGACCCAGCCGCGGCGGAAGCGUCGCACUGUGGCAGAGAUUGGGGCUGCUGCUGAGAGGAAUCGGGUGGGUGCGGGCAACUUCUCAGCGCACGGUAACGCUGACGCUCCCUCUUCUCACGUGCCACACGGAAGCGCUGCUCCACCUUCAUCCACGCCCUGCGACUCCUGUCAGCACCCCCACGUCUGCCACGCAGACUGCAGCGCCACAAGCGACACGGCUCGAGUGUCCUUCACUGACCUCGCGGAGGUGUGUAGCGCCAUGGCAGCCAUCGGCUUUCGCGGCGACGACACUGCUGCAGAGGAGCCGAUGUGGCGGCACGCGGUCGAGUUCGCCUGUGCGGAGAUCGUCGCGACGGCUGAUGCCAGGGACGCAGCGGCUGCGGUGGCUCGUGCCGACAACGGGGAUGCUGCUGGCGUCGCAGCAGAUGGAGAGGCGGUGAUUCGUCAGACUUUGCUGGACGCGCGCGAUUUGUGCUUUGCACUCGAUCGGGUCGACUACACGCACGGCUACGAUCGCGUCAUGGCGACGCUGGUGCGCUGCGGCUUCCUGCGCGAGCCGAUUCCUGCGCCCUCGGCUGUUCGGCGGUCCAUGAAGGACAUCCCGUCCUCCUUCUAAGCGGACAGGGUAUUCAGGAGGGUGGCAGGCCGGCGCGUAUCACUGGCCGAGCGAGUGGCCGCUGGCGACAGCGUUGAAUCCCUACCCUCUUGCCUCUCCGCACAUUCCCGUGCUCCAUGGUCGGCCCUUCCCCUCUGCCCCUCUUUCACUUGUGUGUGCCCCUGCUGCUGGUGCGGCUUCUGGCAACGAUGCCGCUGUUUCUCAGCGCAUUCCUUUGUGGGCAACCCCGUCGCCGUCUUUGCUGUCGUGCUCUACGGACGUGGAAUGCCCCUUUUCUCCCUCACCGCAACAGCGGAGAGCUGCGGAGAGGCCCGCCACUUCGCUCCUUCAGAUGCACACUCAGUCGUGGUAAAGCGUUCGCGCCCUCCCCCACCGCCUUCCCAUUCAACUAGCCGCCGCUGGCCAAGCCAGUGCGCCGCCGCGCUGCAUCGUUGUGCUGCGCUACUUGAAGGGUGGGGUCAGCAGUGCAGCAGGAGCGCCCCACCUACCCACUCAUCCCACGCAUAAGCCAGAAGCCAGCUUCAUCGUCGGCCUUCAUCCCACUCCCCCUUGGGCCCUCCCUUUAUGAGUCUCAAUGCGUGUUUGUGCCUGUGCGUGUCUCUCCCCUCCUCAUCUGCCUCUUUCCUGCUGAGCAUCAG